UUAUCUUGGUAGUAAAUAUACCACAAUUGGAACAAUACAGAAUAGAUUAGCAUGACCUUUAUGACACGCAAAUUUGUGAAGCAUUCAGUAUUCUA
RNAcentral lists this small nuclear RNA (95 nucleotides) under Cavia porcellus (domestic guinea pig). The record is from RNAcentral. Lineage: Eukaryota; Metazoa; Chordata; Mammalia; Rodentia; Caviidae.